Molecule: ribosomal RNA, 602 nt
Filed under: uncultured bacterium
Lineage: Bacteria
Description: bacterial SSU rRNA
Rfam family: Bacterial small subunit ribosomal RNA
Source: RNAcentral
GCAAGGUUAAAACUCAAAUGAAUUGACGGGGGCCCGCACAAGCGGUGGAGCAUGUGGUUUAAUUCGAUGCAACGCGAAGAACCUUACCUACUCUUGACAUCCAGAGAACUUAGCAGAGAUGCUUUGGUGCCUUCGGGAACUCUGAGACAGGUGCUGCAUGGCUGUCGUCAGCUCGUGUUGUGAAAUGUUGGGUUAAGUCCCGCAACGAGCGCAACCCUUAUCCUUUGUUGCCAGCGAUUCGGUCGGGAACUCAAAGGAGACUGCCGGUGAUAAACCGGAGGAAGGUGGGGAUGACGUCAAGUCAUCAUGGCCCUUACGAGUAGGGCUACACACGUGCUACAAUGGCGUAUACAAAGAGAAGCGACCUCGCGAGAGCAAGCGGAACUCAUAAAGUACGUCGUAGUCCGGAUUGGAGUCUGCAACUCGACUCCAUGAAGUCGGAAUCGCUAGUAAUCGUAGAUCAGAAUGCUACGGUGAAUACGUUCCCGGGCCUUGUACACACCGCCCGUCACACCAUGGGAGUGGGUUGCAAAAGAAGUAGGUAGCUUAACCUUCGGGAGGGCGCUUACCACUUUGUGAUUCAUGACUGGGGUGAAGUCGUA